AUUGAACGCUGGCGGCAUGCUUUACACAUGCAAGUCGAACGGCAGCGCGGGCUUCGGCCUGGCGGCGAGUGGCGAACGGGUGAGUAAUACAUCGGAACGUGCCCAGUAGUGGGGGAUAGCUCGGCGAAAGCCGGAUUAAUACCGCAUACGACCUGAGGGUGAAAGCGGGGGAUCUUCGGACCUCGCGCUAUUGGAGCGGCCGAUGGCAGAUUAGCUAGUUGGUGGGGUAAAGGCCUACCAAGGCGACGAUAUGUAGCUGGUCUGAGAGGACGACCAGCCACACUGGGACUGAGACACGGCCCAGACUCCUACGGGAGGCAGCAGUGGGGAAUUUUGGACAAUGGGCGAAAGCCUGAUCCAGCAAUGCCGCGUGUGUGAUGAAGGCCUUCGGGUUGUAAAGCACUUUUGGCGGGAACGAAAAGGACUGUGCCAAUACCACGGUUCGAUGACGGUACCCGCAGAAUAAGCACCGGCUAACUACGUG
Molecule: ribosomal RNA, 484 nt
Filed under: uncultured bacterium
Lineage: Bacteria
Description: partial 16S ribosomal RNA
Rfam family: Bacterial small subunit ribosomal RNA
Source: RNAcentral